ACUAUAUAUAUGUUUCAAGGAAAAAAAAAAAAGGAAUACAAAGAGGACCAAAAGACAAUUAAAAGAAAAAUAUAUGCUGCAAAAACAUAAAAUUUUAUUCUUUUAUUACAUAUAAAUUAUGUAUUGCUUAUAUUUAUGUAUAAUUAUUUAUUAUUUUUAUCACCCCUAGACUUACAUCAAACACAGGCCAUUCCAUUUUCACACAUACCACAUUUUAAGCCUGUAAUAGCUGCACGUCAACUUUCAUCAUGGCCGUCUAAGAAGCUCCACUGACCUGGUCCUCAGUGAGACUGAGUAGAUGAAUCUUGUGUUACUUUGCUUGUACCCGCCGUUGACUAAAGAGCAAGGUCCCAAGGUGAUAAAAGGGGCUUUACUCCUUCCCACAAUGGAGCCUAUCCAGCCAGGGACUAUCUAUGGACAUGUGUGUGGCCCACAGUCUUCUUUAUGGGACAUUAGGUGUUCCUCUUGGAACCCUGGGGGGAAGGACCACCACAUGCUACAGACGUACAGCCUUGGAUUUCAACAUGGCCCCUGAAGGCCUCAGUAUGCUCUUCAUUCUUGGUCCGCCAUCUAAAGGGAAGUGACACUGUGACUGCCGGGCCCAUUCCCUGGAGGAGGAGGGAUGGCAGGGUGGACAUAGCUCCAACCCCUUACCCCUGGUGAAAUUGAAAAUUUAGGUCUGGUAUUCUAAGCCAGGGGCUAAAAUGAUCCUGGCCACAAUCCUAUCACAGAAUAAACAUGCAUCCUC
Molecule: long non-coding RNA, 748 nt
Filed under: Fukomys damarensis (Damara mole-rat)
Lineage: Eukaryota; Metazoa; Chordata; Mammalia; Rodentia; Bathyergidae
Description: lncRNA (ENSFDAG00000027698.1)
Source: RNAcentral